Molecule: ribosomal RNA, 433 nt
Filed under: uncultured bacterium
Lineage: Bacteria
Description: partial 16S ribosomal RNA
Rfam family: Bacterial small subunit ribosomal RNA
Source: RNAcentral
AACGAACGCUGGCGGCAUGCCUAACACAUGCAAGUCGAACGAGACCUUCGGGUCUUGUGGCGCACGGGUGCGUAACGCGUGGGAACCUGCCCUUAGGUUCGGAAUAACUCCCCGAAAGGGGUGCUAAUACCGGAUAAUGUCUUCGGACCAAAGAUUUAUCGACUUUGGAUGGGCCCGCGUUGGAUUAGCUAGUUGGUAGGGUAAAAGCCUACCAAGGCGACGAUCCAUAGCUGGUCUGAGAGGAUGAUCAGCCACACUGGGAGUGAGACACGGCCCAGACUCCUACGGGAGGCAGCAGUGCGGAAUAUUGGACAAUGGGCGAAAGCCUGAUCCAGCAAUGCCGCGUGAGUGAUGAAGGCCUUAGGGUUGUAAAGCUCUUUUACCCGGGAUGAUAAUGACAGUACCGGGAGAAUAAGCUCCGGCUAACUACGUG